Molecule: ribosomal RNA, 794 nt
Filed under: uncultured Pseudomonadota bacterium
Lineage: Bacteria; Pseudomonadati; Pseudomonadota
Description: bacterial SSU rRNA
Rfam family: Bacterial small subunit ribosomal RNA
Source: RNAcentral
AGUUUGAUCCUGGCUCAGAUUGAACGCUGGCGGCAUGCCUUACACAUGCAAGUCGAACGGUAACAGGUCUUCGGAUGCUGACGAGUGGCGAACGGGUGAGUAAUACAUCGGAACGUGCCCGAUCGUGGGGGAUAACGUAGCGAAAGCUACGCUAAUACCGCAUACGAUCUACGGAUGAAAGCGGGGGAUCGCAAGACCUCGCGCGAUUGGAGCGGCCGAUAUCAGAUUAGCUAGUUGGUGGGGUAAAAGCUCACCAAGGCGACGAUCUGUAGCUGGUCUGAGAGGACGACCAGCCACACUGGAACUGAGACACGGUCCAGACUCCUACGGGAGGCAGCAGUGGGGAAUUUUGCGCAAUGGGCGAAAGCCUGACGCAGCAACGCCGCGUGGGUGAUGAAGGUCUUCGGAUCGUAAAACCCUGUCGUCGGGGACGAAGGUAAUUCGGUUAAUAACUGAGUUGCUUGACGGUACCCGGAGAGGAAGCCCCGGCUAACUCUGUGCCAGCAGCCGCGGUAAUACAGAGGGUGCAAGCGUUAAUCGGAAUUACUGGGCGUAAAGGGUGCGUAGGCGGUCUCUUAAGUCGGAUGUGAAAUCCCUGGGCUUAACCUAGGAAUUGCAUACGAUACUGAAAGACUUGAGUACAGUAGAGGAUAGUGGAAUUCCACGUGUAGCGGUGAAAUGCGUAGAUAUGUGGAGGAACACCAGUGGCGAAGGCGGCUAUCUGGACUGAUACUGACGCUGAGGCACGAAAGCGUGGGGAGCAAACAGGAUUAGAUACCCUGGUAGUCCAAUCC